AUCCUUCAGUUCAUGAGCAUGAUGAUUGGGUGUUCAUGCCAUAUGCAUGAGAUGUGCCUCCCUCAAACCCUGUUUCAACAUCAGCACAUUAACUGUCUGAGA
This is a small nucleolar RNA of Heterocephalus glaber (naked mole-rat), 102 nucleotides long. NCBI's taxonomy places the organism in Eukaryota, Metazoa, Chordata, Mammalia, Rodentia, Bathyergidae. The record is from Ensembl.